Long non-coding RNA from Chelonia mydas (Green sea turtle), 650 nucleotides. RefSeq lists it as uncharacterized. NCBI's taxonomy places the organism in Eukaryota, Metazoa, Chordata, Testudines, Cheloniidae. The transcript is spliced from 3 exons. The record is from RefSeq and is a predicted model, not a curated record.
CUCAGUGCCUUUCAGUGUGGCUCAUUAAUUGGCUAGAAGGGAGUGCUAUUUAGCAAAAUGAGAUACAGUCUUUUCCCUUUCCCAUCCCUCAGAAGCUGGAGUACCACUGCUCCCUGCUGGUGCCACUGACCAGGAGACUUUCAAUGGACUGAGGCAAGUGGAAGCCAUUUCAAGCCUUGGCCUUCUGAGUUAUCCAAUGAUGCUGAUGACGAGGCUGCUGCUGGACUGAGAGAAAAGAAAAGCCCUUUGCCAGCAGGAAAACCUAUGCCAUACCACGGCAAGCAUGGAGCCCGCUCAGCUCAUCGCUGCUGUUGUGAGCGUUGUAAACACCUCACGCGUUAGCCUGGGUCUGCACAUACUCCAGGAUAAGAAACACCAGCAUGAGGACGAUUUUGUUGAGGACAUGAACACGGAUGUUCCUGAAAGCAUGGGCUGUGCUAACUGGGACAUCAUGAAGGCAGUGGAGCUGGUUGAUAUAGUGGAACACCGAUUCUGGGCUCGGCAAACAAGCACAGACUGGUGGAACCACAUAGUGUUGCAAGUAUGGGAUGAUUCACAGUGGGUGUGAAACUUUUGCAUAUGUAAGGCCGCUUUCCUUGAACUUUGUGAGUUGCUUUCCCCUGCCCUGAAGCGUAGGAAUACCAAGAUGA